AUGUAUCUGCUAAAUGUGGAUUAUUGCUGCUCAAUUAUAGCACAAAGCAAGUCUAAAGAGAGAGAUCAGAUCAGAUGGGUAAAACAGUAUCCUAGGGGAGGCUCCUUUUUAACCCACCACUACUCCUACCAGCAUUCCUUUUCACUUUUGUUGAGUCAGCCAAGGCAGCCCAGCCAGCCAAUCCUUGCUCAGCCCAGCUCUGCUAAGCUGCCUCCCCAUCCUCCUCCCUCCUCCCUCCUGGAGGAUUCUUCCCCUCCUCCUCCGCCUUUCUCCGCCCAGCAGAGAUUGCAUCCGAUUCCAGUUCCAGACCCAGCUCCAUCCUCCUCCAAACCCUAG
RNAcentral lists this ribosomal RNA (336 nucleotides) under Triticum aestivum (bread wheat). RNAcentral describes it as "partial small subunit ribosomal RNA". Lineage: Eukaryota; Viridiplantae; Streptophyta; Magnoliopsida; Poales; Poaceae. The record is from RNAcentral.